CCUACGGGAGGCAGCAGUAGGGAAUAUUGCUCAAUGGGGGAAACCCUGAAGCAGCAACGCCGCGUGGAGGAUGAAGGUUUUCGGAGUGUAAACUCCUUUUGUUAGAGAAGAUAAUGACGGUAUCUAACGAAUAAGCAACGGCUAACUCCGUGCCAGCAGCCGCGGUAAUACGGAGGGUGCAAGCGUUACGCGGAAUCACUGGGCGUAAAGAGCGCGGAGGCGGGAUAGCAAGUCAGAUGUGAAAUCCUAUGGCUUAACCAUAGAACUGCAUUUGAAACUGUUAUUCUAGAGUAUGGGAGAGGUAGGUGGAAUUCUUGGUGUAGGGGUAAAAUCCGUAGAGAUCAAGAGGAAUACUCAUUGCGAAGGCGACCUGCUAGAACAUAACUGACGCUGAUGCGCGAAAGCGUGGGGAGCAAACAGGAUUAGAUACCCUAGUAGUC
Molecule: ribosomal RNA, 440 nt
Filed under: uncultured bacterium
Lineage: Bacteria
Description: partial 16S ribosomal RNA
Rfam family: Bacterial small subunit ribosomal RNA
Source: RNAcentral